RNAcentral lists this ribosomal RNA (414 nucleotides) under uncultured soil bacterium. Its description in RNAcentral is "bacterial SSU rRNA". It matches the Rfam family "Bacterial small subunit ribosomal RNA", at positions 59 to 519 of the family's 1533-position model. The record is from RNAcentral.
CAGUCGAACGCCGUAGCAAUACGGAGUGGCAGACGGGUGAGUAACACGUGGGAACGUGCCCUUUGGUUCGGAACAACACAGGGAAACUUGUGCUAAUACCGGAUAAGCCCUUACGGGGAAAGAUUUAUCGCCAAAGGAUCGGCCCGCGUCUGAUUAGCUAGUUGGUGGGGUAACGGCCCACCAAGGCUACGAUCAGUAGCUGGUCUGAGAGGAUGAUCAGCCACACUGGGACUGAGACACGGCCCAGACUCCUACGGGAGGCAGCAGUUAGGAAUCUUGGACAAUGGGCGCAAGCCUGAUCCAGCCAUGCCGCGUGAGUGAUGAAGGCCUUAGGGUUGUAAAGCUCUUUCAGCGGGGAAGAUAAUGACGGUACCCGCAGAAGAAGCCCCGGCUAACUUCGUGCCAGCAGCCGCG